This 468-nucleotide ribosomal RNA is filed under the name uncultured bacterium. RNAcentral's name for it is "partial 16S ribosomal RNA". It matches the Rfam family "Bacterial small subunit ribosomal RNA", at positions 28 to 507 of the family's 1533-position model. The record is from RNAcentral.
GACGAACGCUGGCGGCGUGCUUAACACAUGCAAGUCGAACGGAAAGGCCCUGCUUUUGUGGGGUGCUCGAGUGGCGAACGGGUGAGUAACACGUGAGUAACCUGCCCUUGACUUUGGGAUAACUUCAGGAAACUGGGGCUAAUACCGGAUAGGAGCUCCUGCUGGAUGGUGGGCGUUGGAAAUUUUCGGCGGUUGGGGAUGGAUUCGCGGCUUAUCAGCUUGUUGGUUGGGUAGUGGCUUACCAAGGCUUUGACGGGUAGGCGGCCUGAGAGGGUGACCGGCCACAUUGGGACUGAGGUACGGCCCAGACUGGUACGGGAGGCAGCAGUGGGGAAUAUUGCACAAUGGGCGGAAGCCUGAUGCAGAAACGCCGCGUUCGGGAUGACGGCCUUCGGGUUGUAAACCGCUUUCGCCUGUGACGAAGCGUGAGUGACGGUAAUGGGUAAAGAAGCACCGGCUAACUACGUG